CCCUUAGAUGUUCUGGGCAGCACGCGCGCUACUAUGGUCUUCGCAAACGGAUGCAUUCUCGAAGGAGAAUGCCAAUCUUGGAAUCUAUGCCUUGGUCGGGACAGUUGCUUGCAAUUUUUCGACUCGAACCAGGAAUUCCUUGUAAUCGUGAUUCAUCACAUCACGAUGAAUACGUCCCUGCCCUUUGUACACACCGCCCGUCGCUCCUACCGAUCGAAGAGUUAGGUGAAUUGUUUUGAUCGAUAAGAUUUGACUAUGGUCAACUCUCGUUGUGAAAUUCUGUGAAUCUGACUGUUUAGAGGAAGGAAAAGUCGUAACA
RNAcentral lists this ribosomal RNA (319 nucleotides) under uncultured eukaryote. RNAcentral's name for it is "partial 18S ribosomal RNA". It matches the Rfam family "Eukaryotic small subunit ribosomal RNA", at positions 1470 to 1796 of the family's 1831-position model. The record is from RNAcentral.